Molecule: transfer RNA, 74 nt
Filed under: bacterium
Lineage: Bacteria
Description: tRNA-Val
Rfam family: tRNA
About the family: Transfer RNA (tRNA) molecules are approximately 80 nucleotides in length.
Source: RNAcentral
GCAUGAGUGGUCUAGUUGGUUAUGACGUUCGCUUUACACGCGAAAGGUGAUGGGUUCGAUCCCCAUCUCGUGUA